UACGUAGGGUGCGAGCGUUAAUCGGAAUUACUGGGCGUAAAGCGUGCGCAGGCGGUUCGUUAUGUCCGAUGUGAAAGCCCCGAGCUCAACUUGGGAAUGGCAUUGGAAACUGGCGGGCUUGAGUGUGGCAGAGGGGGGUGGAAUUCCACGUGUAGCAGUGAAAUGCGUAGAGAUGUGGAGGAACACCGAUGGCGAAGGCAGCCCCCUGGGUCAACACUGACGCUCAUGCACGAAAGCGUGGGGAGCAAACAGG
Molecule: ribosomal RNA, 253 nt
Filed under: uncultured bacterium
Lineage: Bacteria
Description: partial 16S ribosomal RNA
Rfam family: Bacterial small subunit ribosomal RNA
Source: RNAcentral